UGGUGGGGCAGAGGCCGUGAACCACGCCCCCACAGAUGGGCGCUUAUUUCGGGGGACGUGGGGAGCCAGUAGCGCGACCGGCUACUGGACCU
RNAcentral lists this non-coding RNA (92 nucleotides) under unclassified sequences. RNAcentral's name for it is "c-di-GMP sequence". It matches the Rfam family "c-di-GMP-II-GAG riboswitch aptamer". The record is from Rfam by way of RNAcentral.